UAGGUCCUGCUGUGGGGGAGAGAGUGUCUUCCAGAUACUCAUCAGGGGGAGAUGAGAAGAUGUAUCCACAUGUUAACAGCUUUCUUAUAAACUAUUAAUAGGGAUUUACUUACUCAUUUUUUUUUUCUCUUUAGUUGUGAGACAUGUACAUUUGAACCAUCCUGGGCAUAACCAUUCUUGAGGGGAGAAUUUAUCUUGAUAGUCUAAGAAAGGAAAAGUGAUGACAUUUACAAUUACUAAUGAAAGAGUUAGAAGAUCCCUGGAGGAAUAAUGAUAAAGGAAUAUUUUGAACAGGAAAGGGGCAUCUCUAUGACAUUACCAAUGAGCUAUGGUAAGUACUCUCCCACUUUCCAAAGGAAGGCUAGGCCACCCUACUCUGCCUCUUACGGAAAACUGGUCCUGUAAUGAGUACAGCCUAAAAUGUUUCCAGCUGUGACCAUGGACUAUGAGAUCAGACUAUAGGGACCAGAAGGUUCCAGAUGCUGUCAUGACGCCAACAUGAAUUCCCUGGGCAGACGACCCCACCAAUGUGUCUUGGAGCCCCACCUCUCCAGAUCCCUGCCCUACUAGGGAAAGAGAAAGACAGGCUGGGAGUAUGGAUCAAUGGGGAAGAGAUUACAGAAGCCAGACCUCCCACCUUCUGCAUGCCAUAGUGA
Molecule: long non-coding RNA, 656 nt
Organism: Erinaceus europaeus (western European hedgehog)
Lineage: Eukaryota; Metazoa; Chordata; Mammalia; Eulipotyphla; Erinaceidae
Exons: 3
Source: RefSeq, a predicted model, not a curated record